Molecule: ribosomal RNA, 453 nt
Filed under: uncultured bacterium
Lineage: Bacteria
Description: bacterial SSU rRNA
Rfam family: Bacterial small subunit ribosomal RNA
Source: RNAcentral
UACGGAAGGCAGCACUGGGGAAUAUUGCACAAUGGGCGAAAGCCUGAUGCAGCUAUGCCGCGUGUAUGAAGAAGGCCUUAGGGUUGUAAAGUACUUUCAUCGGGGAGGAAAAACAAAACUAAUAAUUUUAUUUCUUGACGUUACCCGAAAAAGAAGCACCGGCUAACUCCGUGCCAGCAGCCGCGGUAAUACGGAGGGUGCUAGCGUUAAUCAGAAUUACUGGGCGUAAAGAGCACGUAGGUGGUUUUUUUAAGUCAGAUGUGAAAUCCCUGGGCUUAACCUGGAACUGCAUUUUGAAACUGAAAUACUAGAGUAUCGUAGAGGGAGGUAGAAUUCUAGGUGUAGCGGUGAAAUGCGUAGAUAUCUGGAGGAAUACCUGUGGCGAAAGCGGCCUCCUAAACGAAUACUGACACUGAGGUGCGAAAGCGUGGGGAGCAAACAGGGAUUAGAUAC